GCAAAAUUGACAAACUCCUCCGAUGAGUCAUCGAUGGGCUCCGCUGUGUACUUCUCCAGCAGCGUUUUCACAGAGAACCUGGGCGUUGAGGUGGGGAGAUGGGGCAGUGGGGUGUCAGGUGAGGAAACAGGUGAUGGAGGGAGAGACAGGGAGCAACCGGCAGAGAAGAAAGAGGUCAGGAAGGGCAUGGAUGUGGUGGGCGGCAGAGCAAGUGGGGAGACAGGCAAGACUACAGUGACCAUAGAGGUAGAGAAAUUGAUGGUCCAAGAGGUUGACUGAUCUGUUCAGAGUCAUAUGGCUUAUGAGUAGUCAAGCAGGUAUGUCUGAUU
This 329-nucleotide long non-coding RNA is filed under the name Pan troglodytes (chimpanzee). RNAcentral describes it as "long non-coding RNA NONPTRT006708". Lineage: Eukaryota; Metazoa; Chordata; Mammalia; Primates; Hominidae. The record is from RNAcentral.